Molecule: ribosomal RNA, 331 nt
Filed under: uncultured bacterium
Lineage: Bacteria
Description: bacterial SSU rRNA
Rfam family: Bacterial small subunit ribosomal RNA
Source: RNAcentral
CGUGUAGGCGGCUUUUUAAGUCAGACGUGAAAUCUCUGGGCUUAACCCAGAAAUUGCGUUUGAAACUGGAAGGCUUGAGGAUCGGAGAGGGUAGUGGAAUUCCCAGUGUAGCGGUGAAAUGCGUAGAUAUUGGGAGGAACACCAGUGGCGAAGGCGACUGCCUGGACGACACCUGACGCUGAGGCGCGAAAGCCAGGGGAGCAAACGGGAUUAGAUACCCCGGUAGUCCUGGCCGUAAACGAUGGGUACUAGGUGUGGGAGGUAUCGACCCCUUCCGUGCCGCAGUUAACACAAUAAGUACCCCGCCUGGGGAUACGGCCGCAAGGUUGAA